AAUCAACGCUGGCGGCGUGCCUAACACAUGCAAGUCGAACGCGAAAGCUCCGCAAGGGGCAAGUAGAGUGGCAAACGGGUGAGUAACACGUGGGUGACCUGCCUUCGAGCGGGGGAUAACGUCCCGAAAGGGACGCUAAUACCGCAUAACAUCCUGCCUUUGAAGAGGCGGAGAUCAAAGCCGGGGAUCGCAAGACCUGGCACUCGGAGAGGGGCCCGCGUCUGAUUAGCUAGUUGGUGGGGUAAUGGCCUACCAAGGCAACGAUCAGUAGCGGGUCUGAGAGGAUGAUCCGUCACACUGGAACUGAGACACGGUCCAGACUCCUACGGGAGG
This 333-nucleotide ribosomal RNA is filed under the name uncultured Acidobacteriota bacterium. RNAcentral describes it as "bacterial SSU rRNA". It matches the Rfam family "Bacterial small subunit ribosomal RNA", at positions 32 to 348 of the family's 1533-position model. The record is from RNAcentral. Lineage: Bacteria; Pseudomonadati; Acidobacteriota.